RNAcentral lists this ribosomal RNA (153 nucleotides) under Pilobolus pullus. RNAcentral's name for it is "5.8S ribosomal RNA". It matches the Rfam family "5.8S ribosomal RNA". Rfam says of the family: 5.8S ribosomal RNA (5.8S rRNA) is a component of the large subunit of the eukaryotic ribosome. It is transcribed by RNA polymerase I as part of the 45S precursor that also contains 18S and 28S rRNA. The record is from RNAcentral. Lineage: Eukaryota; Fungi; Mucoromycota; Mucoromycetes; Mucorales; Pilobolaceae.
AAAAACAACUUUUAACAACGGAUCUCUAGGCUCUCGCAUCGAUGAAGAACGUAGCAAAUUGCGAUAACUAUUGUGAAUUGCAUCUCGUGAAUCAUCAAGUUUUUGAACGCAUCUUGCACUCUUUGGUAUUCCAAAGAGUACACUUGUUUCAGU